This 254-nucleotide unclassified non-coding RNA is filed under the name uncultured Parcubacteria group bacterium. RNAcentral describes it as "contains 16S-23S intergenic spacer region". It matches the Rfam family "Bacterial small subunit ribosomal RNA", at positions 524 to 776 of the family's 1533-position model. The record is from RNAcentral.
UACGAAGGCCCCGAGCGUUAUCCGGAAUUAUUGGGCGUAAAGGGUGCGUAGGUGGUUUUGUAAGUCUUUCUGUAAAAUCCGACAGCUUAACUGUGGGACCGCAGGAGAUACUGCAAGACUAGAGGAUGCGAGAGGCUUGUGGAACUUACGGUGUAGGGGUGAAAUCCGUUGAUAUCGUAGGGAACACCAAAGGCGAAGGCAGCAAGCUGGCGCAUUUCUGACGCUGAGGCACGAAAGCGUGGGGAGCAAAAAGG